RNAcentral lists this long non-coding RNA (25870 nucleotides) under Solanum tuberosum (potato). Its description in RNAcentral is "long non-coding RNA (STUB_LNC009679)". The record is from RNAcentral. Lineage: Eukaryota; Viridiplantae; Streptophyta; Magnoliopsida; Solanales; Solanaceae.
AAGCAGAAGCUGAUGCAGAAUUUGAUAAUGCUCUCAAGGAAGCUAUCAAUGGUGUUCAAGAUGCAGUGACGGCAAUAAAUGAACAUUUGGAAGAAGUUAGGUAUGAGAUUGCAGCACUUGAAGACUAAAGAUGUAGUCGGUUGACUUUGCCUUUUAAGUUAAAGGCACAAUGCUAUGAAAAGUCACCCCGUAAAUUCCAUGGCAAUCAAGACAUUAUUCAUCAUAACGGUUCCAUUCGUAUAGGCGGCAAACAUUUUAUUCUUGAUGGUGGCACAGGGAGGUGAUAUAUGUAUUGCAUUGAGAAGUCUAUUUGAGCUCUUAAAUUAAGCUUUCAAAAUUUGGUGCUCAAUUUUAUCAUAAAGAACCUGGGCAUUGUAAAGCUAAUUUGUCUUGAGCUUUUUUGUCACUGUAUAGUAAGAGAUAAAUAUGUCAAGUUCCAUGCCAUUGAUGAAAGAAGAGAAAAUGGCGAAAAGCUCACAAACCGACUCCAGAUAUUUGCACAAGUAGGAAAGGUAUUUUAUUUUGUUGAAUGACAAGUGCUAUGUAAGCUAACUUCCACCUAACCACAUUAGUCAGUAGAGUCUAAAACUAACUCUAACAGCUUAGCACUUAAAAAUAAUUAACCAACUAACAAGUUUAAGUAGUUAGUCUGCAUUUAUCUCAAGCUAGGCACAUUGAGAAUAUUUUUCAGUCCUAGCUUGGACAAAAAAAACGUGUGUUGGUGAGUGUCUGCUAGUAGGUAAGUAGAGGACAAAUAUGAUGGAAUUAGUAGACUGUUGAGUCUUAUCUCGGAUAAAAUGACAAUCAAUAUCUAUAUGAAAUGGAUGAUUAGCAGCAAUUGCAGUUCUGCAUAGCAGACUUGCUAUGACAAUUCACAAGGACAAACAAAUAAUUCUUUGAACUCACCAACUCUAGGUGCUAAGCUCCUAUUAAGCCUCUGUUGAGCUCCUUGAUAUAGUUACCUCCUUAUAUUUUCAAGAAAUCAAAGAAUCACCAAACUUGACCAAAUAUCCUGUUAGACAUCUUUUGGUGUUGGGGAACAAGUUGUUUAGAGUAAAUGCCCAAUUAAUAGAUAUCUGACAAUCCUAAUAGAAGCUUCCAUGUGUGAAGCCUUGGGAUGUUGCAUCAAUUGACUAAGACACUGAACAACAAAGCUGAAAUCAGGUCUAAUCACUGUUACGUAUAACAAUCUCCCUAUAAGUUUUUAAUAUUGUCACGACCCAAAGUACAUCCUAGUCGUAACAUGGCGUAUAGGACCUCGAGAGACCCAAUACAAGUCACUUAGCAUACAUAUACAAGAUAAUAGAAUCUUAAAGAGUUCAAAAGACAUUUGAAUCAUAAAGAGUUCCAUCAAAAACAGAAGUCUAACAUAAGUCUCAAAGCCACUAUUGGAAAGUGAUUGAAACGUAACCCAUACAUCACAAUAUGAAAUGAAAAGAUUUGAAAGCAAUAAAGAAUCUUGGUCCUCGGAACAUGAGGACUCACCAAUCUUCAAUGUCUAUAUGGGAUCACUGGCCACGAGUGUGCGGAAUGGAAGCGUCGGACCCUACAUUAGUGAAACAAUGUAGGCACAAGUAUGCAUUAGUACAUGGAAUGUACUAAGUAUGAUAACAAUGCAUAAAGAGUAAUGAAAUCUUGCUAAAAGGGACUUUAUAUGACAUGCAAUGAUCAAGCUAAAUCAUAAAAUAACAUGUUAGAAGACAUAAGUCGAAAUCAUGGUCAAUGCAAGCUAAACAUCUUUAAAACACAUUUGAGAUACUUCUAGAAGUAACCUUAGUUCAUUCUUGUGGGAAGUUUGCCAUUAACUGACAUAGACCAUGUGAGCUAUAACAUGGAAUCUAGUGUCUAUUCCACAUCGAAAAGAGAUGUCCUUACUUGCCAAGGUAAGAACCAUAAACUUCUAGCUUAGGUGGAUCCACUAGCUAAUCUCUAUCUAAGACAACCUAUGGUGACACAUAGUUAUGUGAUAGGGAGAUUGCUACUAGAAACCCAGCCUCAACUAUGGGAGAGCUUCCAUCUUGAUAUCCUCUCGGUGCUAAUUAAGCAUAAAUCCCACGGAAUAGUCAUUAAUCUUAACUUAUCUUAUUAUCCAUGGAAGGGCACAUGAAGUAGCCAAUCAAAGCUAGAAUUCAUUAUAGCCAAUCCUAGGUGAGAAAACCUUUCAACCUUGUGAAUCAUUUAUGUGAGCAAAUCCUUUCACAAUAACUUCAUAUGUGAGAAAUCCUUUCACAACAACAAUUCAUAAAGAAACAUGCAUAUCUUCAUAAAUUCAUCUUUCAUAUUUCAAAAGCUUCAUCAUAUAAUCAAAAUCCAGAAAAUUAUGGAUCAUGCAUGGGUUCAAUUGCAUUGAACUUAAAAACAUGUAGUUAUCUCAAUUCAUGCAUAAAAAUACAUAAAACAAUCAAUUGGAUCAUAAUUGAGAGCAACCCAUGAAAUUGAAUAAAACCCUAAUUUCAAUUGGAGAACUCUAACUUGUAAUAUUGGAGAAUUUAGGAACCUUAUGGAGGAAAGAACUCCACAGGUGAAUACUAUCAUACCUUGAUGUCAAAAACCCCCAAUCAAUGGUGAAUUUGGAGACUGGAUCCUGAAACCCUAGACUAGUUUAUCAAACAUAUCAAGCCUAUUUAAGAAUGACAAGAAGGUACAUCUAUUAAUUGCCUGUGUAGACUUUGGCCUAUUCAAGAAUGACAAGAAACAACAUGCAUUAAUUAGUUUUUGUACAUUUCGGGUUACCUAAAAUGUUAACAAUAACAUACUUUUUGCAGUCUUCCAACUGGGAUCUUUGAAGGGUAGGAUGUAAGCAGAUCUUACCUCUACCUUCGUAAGUCAGAGACUAAAAAACUCUCGAUUCAAAAGGAAAGUACCUAGGAUACAAAAGAAAUGUAACAAUAAGAGGUUACCUAAAUGUUACUGAUGGUAAUCGUCCAUAAAAUACAAUAAGUUAAAUGCAAUCAUGUAUAGUUGGCUCAUCACUUCGUUUGAGUUGGAUGUUGGUUUGCAACCAUUGCAGGAAGAAUCAGUACUAAGUAAUUAGGAAAAGGAAAUUGAACAGAUAGAGCAACAACAAAAUACAUGUUUUAUCGCAAAUACUUCUUAACUAAAUCAAUCAACAAAGAAAAUAAAAACAACAUUCAGCUGCAAAAUUCUCUUUUGUAUUCAGAUUGCAUAACGACAAUCACAAGAAGCUCAGCUCAAAAACAUAAAAAACUGAAUUGUAUCGCAACUUCAAGCAACAUGAGAAAUUGUAGCUAUAACUUAUAGAACAACCUUGAAUUCCUUAAAAUACCUAUAGAAAUAACCUAUUAUAAUCAAGAAACUCGCCUUGAAACUAUAUACUCAAGUGAAAUCCUCACUAACCACAUAACUGAAAAGUAGCAAUAAGAUGAUUUUCAGUUCACUCGAGUAGCCAACAUGUCUAUAGAUAUGAUUGCACAAGUGUAUAAACAAAUUCGUAACAAUGACCACGAUUUAAUUUUCUGACUGUUCUUCCCUCAUUUCAAACAAAUCAUACUAAUUACUCCCAAACUCCAAAAAAAAGAAAACAAUCAAACCAUGUAAAGACAAAAGCAUAAAGUACCUGUAACAAUUAGCAAAGUUCAAAAAAAAAAAUUCAAUUACAAUACUUAGAAACCAGUAGAACACGAAUUGAAAAUAUUGAUUCUUAAUUUCAGCUUCAAUUCUACAAAAAUUGAAACAAGUAGAAAUAGGAAUUACUUAACAAAUCAUAUAUAUAAAUAUAUCAAAAUAUAUUAAAAACUCGAAGAGAUUUAACUCGAAGCUCCAAUUCUCCUUCAGAAAUUCAUACUAAGAACAACUCUUCUUUCACACACACAUACACUAUCAUAGAAGGUUGUGAACGUGUUCAGAAAUUUCUCAAACUUGUGAGAAAUACCAAAACCCUACCUGAAACGAAGUUGAUGAAGCGAGAUCUUCUUGCUCCUAAGCAAACUAGUAAUGGAUGACCCACUUCUCAAUGGACUCUUCGAUCAAGACCUUCCGACGAUAACCCACACACCACCUCUUCCUUAUAUGCCGAGAAGAAACCUUGUUUUCUUUCCAUUUCCUGGAAAAAAUCAAAAUCCCAAAAUAUUUUUCAACCAAACAAAUAGACUUAAGGGUUAGCAUGAACGAAAUUUCUAGGUCAUAAAUUGCAUAAUCACAUAAGAGAGUAGAAUCUAGAAAGGGCACUUAGCUGAAGAGAUGGAGCAAAAUUCUUUAAGAAUGAAAUUUAGGUCUCUGCUUCUAUUUUUUUCUGGUAAUUACUCCUUAAUAUCGACAAUGUCUUCCAAUAAUAGCAUUACAAUCAAAAUGGUAUAUCAUAACAAACCCCUUAAACCGUAUUAUCAAGAACCCUAAUCCCCUUUUCCAAACCAAAACACAUCAAUAUCCAAAAAAGAAAAAAAAACUAAUCAGAUCUCGUCUUCAUGAAAAAGCAUAUUGGGAAUGCCUUUACUGAAAGGAAAUUUUCGGCCAGUCUCUGGACAAACCAAGGCACCCUCUUCAAGAUGAAGCUCAAGAAGGGCAUGAUGAAACUUCUGAACAAAAUCAUCUAAGUCGAGCAGAGCAACAUCAACAUUUCAGGAAGUUCGGCGUAACCCAUGGUUCUAGAAGCUUCCGCCAGUUCCUUCCAUUCAACCUUAAGGAACAUGUUCUUGAGAAAAUCGAUAUUAAAAUCAACCUCCCUCUCUACUUUCACAACCUCGAUCUUCAACGGAAAUCCAUUUGCGACUUCCUUGAUGUUGGAUGAUAAUAUAUUGUGAGUUAGCAACCUCUUUUGGAAGUUGGAAAGAAUUUGCUAAUGCGAGGAACUUUCGAUUUUAUAGGCCUUGGACGGUGCCGGAGAAAUUGUAUUUUCAGUCGUUUACGGAGGAAUCUUAUAAUUUUAGCCAAAAAUGAUACUAUAUCCCAUAGUAGUCUUAUCUUUUAGAAAUUGGGGGAAAGUUAUAUGGGGUGGGGGGGGGGGGGGGACUCUUAUUGCAAUUUUUUUUAUGAGAAUUAAUACGACACACUUAUAAAGUGUUGUUUUUCGACUUAUAAAUAUAGCACAAUUUAAAGUGUGACUAUAUAUAUAAAUAAGUGUUGACAAUUGUUCUAUGAUUUGGCAACACUUAUUAAGUGUAGCAUAUUAAAAAGCACACUUUCAAAGUGUUGCCAAUAUUUUUGUGGCCAAAAGCUGGAUAUAAAGGUCACACUUUAAAAGUGUGCUCUUAGAUACUUUUUGCAACACUUUUUAAGCGUUCUCUAGAAUUAGUGUUGCCAUAGGCCAAAUUUGUUGUAGUGAGAAUAGCCAAUCCUAGGUGAGAAAACCUUUCAACCUUAUGAAUCAUUUAUGUGAGAAAAUCCUUUCACAAUAACUUCAUAUGUGAGAAAUACUUUCACAACAACAAUUCAUAGAGAAACAUGCAUAUCUUCAUAAAUCCAUCUUUCAUAUUUCAAAAGCUUCAUCAUAUGAUCAAAAUCUAGAAAAUUAUGGAUCAUGCAUGGGUUCAAUUGAAUUGAACUUAAAAACAUGUAGUUAUCUCAAUUCAUGCAUAAAAAUACAUAAAACAAUCAAUUGGAUCAUAAUUGAGAGCAACCCAUGAGAUUGAAUAAAACCCUAAUUUCAAUUGGAGAACUCUACCUUGUAAUAUUGGAGAAUUUAGGAACUGUAUGGAGGAAAGAACUCCAUAGGUGAAUACUAUCAUAUCUUGAUGUCAAAAACCCCCAAUCAAUGGUGAAUUUGGAGACUUGAUCCUGAAAUCCUAGACUUCUUCUUCAAGCUUUAGAGAGAGAAAUUUUGGGGGAAGAACUUGGUCAACUUUUGGGAUUUUAGGAGAAUAAGUUCAAUUAGGUAAUUUGGGGGUUAAAAACGUUUAUAUAGGGCCUAGGGUAGAAGGUAAAACGACAUAGUAUUGAGUUAAAUCAAUUAUGAAAUUACCUAAAAGCCCUUAAAAUAAAAUUGCCGAACCUUCACUGACGGUUCAGACCUAUAGUCUGUAGGUCCUUCUAUGGAUCGUCCCGGUCAACCGUAGGUGGGGUUCAGGGACUUGUUUUUGGACCUUCAAACUAAGUGGCCCAUGUACGGUUGGUAGGUCUACCUACAGAGCGUACAUGGCCACCGUAGGUCCUAAAAACUUCCAAAAAAUUUACUUCCUUUUUCCUUGUCACCUCCGCAUGCAACCUACGACCCAUAAAUGAUCUUACCAACCAUAGGUGGGAGCCGUAGGUCACAGCUAAAACCCAGAAACUGCAUUUUCUAUUCUUCUAAAAUCUGAGGUAUUACAAAUAUCUCCCUGGAUCGGGCAAAGAUCCUAUCAUAAUUAUCACCAACAUGUUUAUCAAAUCCAACAAUGAUGUACUUGAGAGUAAGCUCCAUGGGAGAUUGAUGUUUGCGUAAUCAAGACACAACUUCCGAUGCAAGUUUCUACGAUCGUACAAUAGUUUAGUAAACCAACCAAGGGUUGGGGUCGAGGUGACGCAAGCGUCAAAUAUCAAAUGGGGGUUUGUAAGCAAGAAACAACCAAAACAGUGAGAAUAAGGAAAAAUACAAGUAUGGAGACGAGAUUCUUGAGAUGUGAUAGGAAUAUGGGAUAGACUAAAAUCAUUGGGUACAUGCUUUUGAUAUUAAAUUCAUUGGAAUAAGGAAAAAUACAAGUAUGGAGACGAGAUUCUUGAGAUGUGAUAGGAAUAUGGGAUAGACUAAAAUCAUUGGGUACAUGCUUUUGAUAUUAAAUUCAUUGAGUAUUUGUGACUAGGCUAGACUUUAAGGGGGAUAAGCUCUCUCUUGAGCAACUUACCCCGUUUCAAAUGCGUUCCUCUCGGACACCCACUUGCCGCAUGAAGAACAACCUCCGCCUUAACCGACUCUCUCGAGCUGAGUGUGUGGACAUGGAAGUAGGGUUCACUCUCUCGAGCUGAACCUCAUAUCGACCCACUCACACUGGCCAUCAAUUUAGUGGUCUUAGUUUUACGACUUCUCUCUCUCGCAAGCCGAAAACACAUAAAUAAACUUGUAUUUGCAACUACAAAUUCACUAAAUUCAUCCACAAUCACUAAACGAAAUCACAUUUAAACUACGAAUAGACAAUCAUCAAGCAAGACCCAAUAACUAAUCUAACCCAUAUUCACAAAAUCACACCCCAAGAAUUGGCGUUUUAGCUACGCAUGUAAAAGAGAUAAAGACGUAUACCAAUAUCAGUUUCCAUCAAUGGGUAUGCAAGAUUAAGUCUUAAAACAAGCCAAGAGUGAAGAACCCAAGAGACCCAAGUCCAAUUCCUUGAAUUUGAAACCCUUUGAAAGCUCCAAGUUCUUUAAAACCCUCUCCAACACUUAGAGAGAAUGUUGCAAAAUUGUACUAAGAAGGAAUUGCAACGCUGACAAGUCACUGAUGAAGACCAAGACAUUGUGGAUACCAAGUCUUUUAUGGAUUUCAGAAAUGAGAAGUAUAACAAAGACAGGCAAUAAGUUGGAGAAUGACAUUGCUAAGAGUGGAGGAGAUUGUGGUAAAAGUAAGGAAGUACAUCAACAACACUACAAGACUCAAAAUACCCAUAAGUUUGAUAACAACAAGUCAAUUGGUCGUUAGAGCUAUACGUAAAAGAAAGCAUAGUCCAAGAGGAAGGGAUGCAACAUAUGCAGAGGGCCACAUAGUUUGAAGGAUUGUCUCGACUUAAAAAGUCUUAGCGCUAUGGUGCAUGAACAUAAGAAGAAAGAACAAGAAAAUAGUUCAGUAACAACUCAAUUAGGAGUGGUUGGACUAUGUGAAUCCAUCACAAAGUCAGCUAGCCUAGUUAACGAGAAUAGAAAUCAGUACGCGGAUGUAACGCCCCAAAAAUUACAACACAAAUUAGACCUUGAGUUUUUUAGAAUGCUGCCACGGAAGAAAUCUACGGAUCGUAGAAGUAUCUACGGACCGUAGGUGGGUUCGUAGAAUCAUGCUCUAAAAAUUGUUCUCAGGUCCAAGUUUCACGGACCAGACUACGACUCAUAGAACCUUCUACGGUUCAUAGAAAGGCCUCGUGGAACUCAAGUCCAGAUACAAUCCUAUUAAGUUUCCUACGAUUGAGCAGGACGACCUAUCAAAGUUCCUACGGGGCCAAAGAAAGGAUUUGCAGACCCCAACUACAAAGAUCCAGAACCCAACAUGUUUUCUACGAGAGAGUCUAUGGUCCGUAAACUUUUGUACAAACCGUAUAUGGCCUUUUGUAGACAACUUCUGUUAGUUUUAAGAGGGUUUAGUUUUUGUCUUUUCCACCCUUUAUAAACCUAUACCUCGAUAUUUAUACACCUAAUUAAGGUCAUAAGAAACCCCUAGCACAAACUUAAGUUGAAAGCUUCCUUACCAAUUAAGUUAGGAGAUAAGAUUAUACUUAGGUCAACUUCAGAUGAUCAUAUCUCUUAGCAUAUAAUGAAUUAGGUGGCACAUGACCUAUCAAAUUAAAGAUAUAUGAGUCCUGUUUCCAAUUCCACCAUGUUUGCCUCAUUUUCAGCUCAGAGUAAAAAGUAAUACCCAUUUUAGUGAAGAUUUGUCAGGCAGUCGAUGUUCUACAACUGGACCUACGGACAAUGGAAAUUUCCACGAAUUGUAGACCCUUCCAUGAAGGCUUGCUGCAAUUUUUUCUGCAACUUUCUACACGCGUUCUAGGGUUAUUUUGGUCAUUUUCCAAGCUUUUAAACCUUAUUAUAUGUCAUUUUUGAGUAUUUUAACUGAGUAUAUCAUUCAAAUAACUAGUUUUCCUCUCAUAAUCAAUAAUAUAAACAUUCAAGUAUUUAGAAAUUCACUUAAAACUCAACUAGGGUUCCUCUUCUCCAUCAAGAACCCUAAAACUUCAAGUAAAAAAUUAAAGAUACAAAGAGAAACUUUCCAUUGAAGGUUUCCCAAGUUCUGUCAGUCUAAGAACUUCAUAAUUCUUUUCUCAAGAUCAAGCCCCAAGAUUCCAUGCUCAAAGACUUCCUCCAAGAAAGCUAAUGUUCUUUCUCAAGCUCAAGAUAAAUGAUGUCUCCACUAAAGUUUUCAAUCUAAUAGCUUUAUAAUCAGCUACGUAAGGCUAUCAUAAUGAUCGACAGAGUUCGUCCUCACGCCCUACAUCUAUCUAAAUUCAGUAAACGAGUAAUAUUGGGUUUUAUCCCCCUUUUUGAAUAUUCUUGAGACGAGUUAUAUUGUUAAGUUAUGAGUUCUUAAUUCCUGAGUAUUGAGUUAUUUUUCAUUGUAUUGAGAUCCUUGAUGUUAUUUGUUCAUGUCUAUAUUCAACAUGAACCCUACUGUUGAGUUAAAUUUGAGAAUCUUUUCAAAACAAAUGUUUUGUCUUUAAAUUGAUAUAUGAGUAGAGAAAAUUAUGAGUUUUGAGAAAAAGUUUUCAAAUAUGAAUUGAGUAAGAGUAUAAGGGAACUAAGUAUUCCCAAAGGUAUCACCUUUUACAUUGAUAAACUAGAAACUUUGAUUUCUAAAUGAGUUAAUGAGUUCAGAGAUAUUUCAGAGCAGUUACCUUUUUAACAGGAUAAUUCUAGUAAUUACCUCAAAUUGAGAAAGAGUAUGCUUUACACAUUUGAGCAUGAGUAUAUAUUUAUUGGGAGUCAUGUUGAGCAUCGAUAUGUGGAUGAGUUUAGACAACUCACAUUCCUCAUAAACCACGUGGCUAAUAUGGAUAAAGGAUUGUACUUUUUAGACGACUCCUUGUUUCUUUCAAGCAGAGGUUUAGUGGUUCUACUUAGUUGACAUGUUCUAUAUCCUGGCAAGUUAUAGGAUAGUUCUGGCAGCGUGGGCAAGCUGUUGUAUCAUCACGUUGAUCAUAGUGAUGGUUGAUGGUUAAAGAAUCUCCCAAAUAGAGUUAAAAGUGUAUUUUUAUCAUAUCACUUUAUAUGUUGAGUUCAAAGAUAAGUAAGUAUUUGUAAAGUUUAAUUGAUUUCACUCCUUUAUUUAUUUACAUUCCAUUUAGUAUCUUGCUUCAACUUCUUUAGUUAAGUUGUUUAUUUUCCUCGGCUAUAUUGCAUACUCGCAUAUUUCAAUGUACUGAUGUCAUUCAACCUGCAUCUUUUCAUGAUGCAUAUAUAGGUGUUCAUGAUCAUCAACAGGUGCUUCGUUGAGAUCACUUUGAACUUCUUGUUAGCUUUGGUGAGCCUUCUUUGAAUUCCGAAGGACUCCACUUUUGUCUUUUAGUUUAGUAGUUUUGAGUUGUCGUGGGUCUUGUUCCAACAUUAAUGUUGAACUAUAGAGGCUUCAUAGAUAGUUAGUGUUGUGUUUCUUUUACUAUUUCCUUUGAACUAUUUUUGCAAACUAUUAUUGUUUUCAGAGUAUUUUCAGACAAUUUUGAGUACUAUUUUGAAAUAGUUUGAGAAGUUUUGAGAUUUUGAAUUUAAAUUAUGUUUUAAAGCUUAAUCUGCUUGAGUUAGUCUUCUGCUAAGUAGUCAUCCAGGCCAAGGGUUUUCUUGGGGAUCAACAAUGGUUCUCAAAUGUCGGCCAUGUCAAGGGUGUAGGCUCCAGGCAUGACAAUGGACCUUAUAAUCAACAAUAAUAUUGCUCAUGCAUUGGUUGACACUGGAUCAACUCAUAAUUUUAUGACCGAGGCUGCAAUGAAGAGGCUAGAGUUGAAGCAUGCUCAAACUAAUUAUCGCAUCAAAAUCGUGAUUGCCGAUCCUUAAAAUUUUCAUGGUGGUGCUAGUGGUGUUGAUGUCAAAUUGGGAAAUUGGAAAGGUACGACAUAAUUUUCCAUUACAAAAUAGACAUCUAUGAUAUUAUUCUAGGGCAAGAGCACACAAUGUCAUAUCUUGAUCGAUCCCUACCUUCAUUUUCUCUUGGUCAUAGAACAAGAAGGGGCUUGCAUGGUGCCUUAAUAACUAUAUUGGUAACACCUAUGAAGUGCAAAAGAUAACUUGACAAUUUAAAAGUAGAGAAAAUUGUUGGUGCAAUGUUUUACGGGACCUAUGCACAUGCCAUAGUUGGCUCCAUGACCCGUGGAAGUGGCUCGGGGAGUGAUUUUGAAAAAUGGGAAAAAUAUUCAGUCUCUAAUCCAUUUUCACGAGCCAAUAGGAUGACUCAUGGUUAGAUUCACAACUGAUGGAUGGUGGGUCGUAGUUCUCACCAGAGGGUCUUCAGAUUCUUAAGUAGUACAUGUUCCUAUCAACUUUGCUCAGUCUUGGUGAGUCUUCAUGGUUCAAGGACUCGCCACUUAUGUUACUUUUAUAUCAUUCAGACUUUACUUCAGUUUCAUAUGUUUCGAGUGAGCAAGGGCUUGUAUUUAGAUUUUCCAUGUUAUGUUGAGUUUACCAUUUGAAACUACAACUUCACUUAUAUUUUUUACAUAGUUAUGUUGUUGUCUUAGUGUCAUGUAUGCCAUGUGGUUUGCUUGGGGUCUCUCGGGACUCUAGGUACCAUAUCACAUCUAGGGUAAGUCUUGGAUCUUGACAAACUUGUUAUUAAAAACAUCAGGUUCAAGUGUCUUAGGGUGUCUCAGAGCCGCGUUAAGUAGAAUUUUGUUCAUAGGUGUGAAGCGCACCAUAUUUAUGAAUGAGAAGGUAUGAGACGCUUAAGAAACUUUACUUCUUUUAUAACUCUUAAGUCGUGUGACAGAGUUGAACUCUAUAAGGUUGCCUACUAACUCAUUUUCUAUAUGUUUCAGAAUGAUGCUUCCAAGAAGAGAUCCGGUGAGAAGGAACUUGAAUGCGGAGCAAGAAGCACCACAAUCUCAUUGAUCCUUUGGCCAAGCAAGUCACUCAUGCCGAGCUUAGGGCUGCUUCCCAAUAAUUUGCCCAAUCCAUGAUUUUUCAAGCUAAUUGUGAAGUUGUAGCUGUCGUGAACCCAAAUAUAGGAAUGGCGACAACUAGGGUUCAAGACUCCACAAGGAUGAAUCCUCCAGAAUUCCAUCGUUCUAAUGUUGAUAAGGAUCCACAAGAGUUCGUAAAGGGGAUUUAAAAGAUUGUUUAGAUUAUGUGCGUCACUCCGAUUGAGAGUGUAGAAUUGGAUGCAUGUUAAUUGAAUAGGAUCUCUCAAAUUUGGUUCAAUCAAUGGAAGGAAGAAAGGACUAUUGAUGCAAAUCCUUUAGAUUGGGAUAAGUUCAAAGGUGCUUUUUUAGAUCGAUUCUUCCCUUUUGAGUUGAGAGAGACAAAGGUGCAAGAGUUCAUCAAUUUGAAGCAAGGUAUUAUGAGUGUGAAUGAGUAUUCUUUGAAAUUCACUCAACUCUCCAAGUAUGCUCCAGCUAUGGUGGUUGACUCUAGAGCCUGUAUUAACAGGUUCAGUUUCGGUGUCUCAGGGAUGGUUGUGAAAGAGUUUAGAAACAACCAUCUUGAUCAAAGAGAUAUAUAUUUCUAGGUUGAUGACUCAUGUUCAACAAAUUGAGGAAUAGAAGCUUAAAGAGAAUUCUAAGGAGACUAAUAGGGCUCAUAGUGUUGACUACUCUUAUUAGAGAUCCAGUGGUGAUAGCCAUUCUCAAUUCAAAAAAUGCAUUCAGGCCCGACUCCAUCUUCUGCUAGCAUUCUGAUGUAAUGUUCAACAAGGAUAUGGUGUCAAACCCUAAGUCUCAGAGUAGUGCUUUUAUUGGACAUUAUUUCCCUACCCACCAAAAGUAUGGUAAGAACCACUCAGGCAACUGUUUAGCCGGUACCGAUUGAUGAUAUGGUUGUGGUAAGGUUGGUCAUAGGUUGAGAGAUUGCCCUUCCCUUGCUAGGAAGGGGAGAGAUGGUCUUAACCCUAAACCAUAAACCCGAAACCCUAAACCCUAAACCCUAAACCCUAAACCCUAAACCCUAACCAUAAACCCUCACUACACCAUUUUAGGCCUAAGGCCACACUGAAUCUUGACAACACUUGUAAAGUGUUGCCUAAAACAUUUUUGGCUACGCUUUUAAAGCAUAUCCUUAGUUUUUACCAUUUGGCUACGGUAAUUUUGGCAACACUUAUAAAGCGUGCUCUUUAGUAGUAUAGGCUACACUUUAUAAGCAUUGCCACAUCAUGAUAUAAUUAGCAAUGCAUAUUUAUACAUAUGACUACGCUUUUAAAGUGUGAUAUUUUUAUAAUUCUUAAAACAACAUUUUACAAGUGUGGCCUUAUAAUUUUCCUAAAAUUUUCACCAAAAUAAUGUAUUCCCCCAAUAUAUUUAACUCUCCCUCCAAUUUCUAAUUGGUAAAUAAUAACCUCAAUAUAAACAUAACUCUAAAAACGUUUUACCCCAAAUUAAAAUGCUCUCCUAGUUACUCUUUGCCUAUAUCACUACUCAAAAAUUAAACCCUACUUUCACUCCUUCUCAUUUCCAUCCCAAAAAGUCUCCAUUGUAACUUUAUCGAUGUUUGGUUGUGAUUUCCUUAAUCGUGCUUCACCUUUAUGGGAGAGGCUAAAGAAAUAAUUUGAAGAAUUCCAGAUCUGUAGGAAUCGGAGAAUCUACAAGAACUCAGGUAAAAGCUUCUCUUUGUCCCAAUAUAGAGAGCUCUGGUAGGAGCAACACUUCCCAGAUCAAUCUAAGAAAUGAGUGCCCAAAUCACAUACGGAGGUUCAGUGAAGUUUCUGCUCACAAUUUUCUCUUCGGUUUCUGCUCAUACUUAUGCCGUUGGAUAGAACAAUCCAUUUCUAUGUUAAUUGCUCGUAAUAUUUUGAAAAAUAUUUAGACACUUUUAUGGUUCAGUUUUGGUUGCUAAUGUGUUUGAGAUGAAUAUUUGUUCAUUUCGUUUUUCUUACAGUACCCGACUAUAUUGUCUUAUGGUCCUCCUUGAAUGGGAAGAUGACGACCCUUUAGGGUUCUGUUUUGUACCCGCUUCUCAGGUAUGUUUAUGUUACAUGUGGAUUUUACUUGGGGGUUUCUCUACUUGAUGUUAAUUUAAUUAAGAAAUUUUUCGUAUGGUCGAUUGAUUAUUGAUUCUAUAGAUCUUGUUCCUGAAAGUCAAUUUAUAUUUUAGCCAAGAAAGUACUUUUUGAUGUCAAUUUCAUAUAGCAAAUUGUAGUGUGAUGAAAUUGAUUAUGAAAUAAGUCUAUAAAAAUCUGAUUUCUGUAAAUGUCUUCCAGCCACCUAAUGACCUAUAAUGCUAGUCGAAAUCCGAUUUAGUCUAGGAGUUUCUAUCUUACAUUGUUUCUAGUUUAGCAAUGAAAAACAAUUUCGUUCUUUUUUAAAUUCAAAGUGUAAAGAGGAAUAAGUUGGAACUUUUGAAAAAAGGUUCACUACUUUGGAGCAAUUUAACCUCCCUUUUUGUUUUCAAAGAAUUAUAUUAAGUAAUAAUAGAACUUUUGGACAUAUAUUUUCUUUAUACUAUUUAUAUUCUAGAAAUUGAAUGGACAUAAAACAACUUGCUGCCUUGCUUCAAAUUCUAGUACAUGUAUUCAAGCCUAGCUUAUCUUCUAGCUGCUGCUAGUUUCAUGUUUCUACACACAUUUUCUCUCCAUUAUUCAUAGAGUCAACUAGGAUUGUGUUGUUUAAAUGUAUUAGGAUAAGAAAAUAUAUUUACUUUCUUGAGUUUACAUCCAUAUGUUGUUUAAUAUUUUGAAGUCUACUUGAGUAAUGUAUAACGUACAUGCCUAUUGUUUUUGUCCGAAUCCCUACACUUAGUUGUAGCGAAUUCUUCCGGAAUAUGUCAACUAAUGUGACAAGUUUAAGAGAUGAGCACUUCCUUUUUUUAACAUUCUAAUAGGUAAAAUCCUCUACUGAACAAGAAUAUUCUUGUGGAGUUUCUUGUGUUGUUUUUGAGAUUAUAAAAUACAUUUUCCAAUGGACAGGUGGCUCUUAAUAUUCUCUAACAAAAGAGAAAUCAUAUUAUCAAACUUGGGCUUUAUGAGUUUAUGUUGCUUGAUUGUUUCCUUUUUUCUACCUUACUUUUUGUAUGUAUAUAUUUCAUCUUUCAGUGAAUUUUUCUUUAACAGACCCAAGUAGUAUUAAGUUUAGUAAUAUGGAGCUAAAUUCUAGUGAUGAUAGUUGUAUCAAUGUAGUUCAUACAAAAAUUAAGAACUUCUAUUCAUGUUGGUUCUAAUCGAUAAAGUUAAACUCAUGUCUUGUCUAGCUCAAUUUUUAAUGCAUUUUGAGCCUCUGUUUUACUUUGUUGUUUAAUGAGAUAUCUUCCUUACUCAUUUCAGUGGUUAUCAUUGCCCACCAUUUAAGAUCAAAAUCCUUGAUAAAGCAGAUUCAAUGACUCAUGAUGCUUGAGUAAGUUGCAUUACUUGUUUUUACUAUAAUCUACAUAAAUUUGACCUAACACUCGAAUUUGCAGAAUCAAGGCUUACUUUUUACUAAUAACCCAAUAUAAAAAUUAAUGUGACACUAUUUUAGGAGUUCAAACAUGAUAAUGUUACUCAUAGUAAGCAUGGAAAAUAUAAGAGAAAUCGGAUCAGUUAUGUUAACUAUAUUUCUCCUUUUUUUCGGUUAACAUUAUAAAAGAGUUGAUUAUUCUAAAUUGAUGUGACAGAGGGGGAGUAGUAUUUUUGUGAUUUCCUUUUGGUGUAAAGUAGAACUUGUAAAUGAAGUUGAGUCCAUGUUAUAGUUCAUAAAUUUACUGUAUACAUUGUCAGAGAUCUUUUGGGUUUUUGAUGUAAUGUUUUACACAAUCUUCAUGCUUUCCUUUUUGUAAUAUAUGUAGCAUUUAAACAAAAAAACUUUUUGUCGUGAGCUGAAGUAGGCUUGUGAAGACCUUAAGGAUUCUUUAUAACCUCCUUUAGCAUUUAAAAUCAAGGUUACUACAUGACUUGACAAUGUACUUGCUUAGUUGCUUAAUAUACUUAGUUACACUAGCAAUGCUAUGUUGAUUUUCUGCUGAAAAUCUUUUACUAUUUGAAGUUGACUUGUAACUCAGUAUUCGAGCACUUUUUUUUUUUGAGAAAGGUAACUUGUAUUAUAAACAACAUAUUUUAAAAAUAAAUGGAAUGUAGUAGAAAUCUGAAUUAACUUAUUGGAAGUAAACCUUCCUCUCUUGUUGAUAUACCCAUUUUGUCAGCUUAUUUCUGGACUUUCUGAUAAGCAUAUGCAAAAAGAUGAGCGAUUGAAGAACUUUCUUUUUUAGGUUUAGUUUUUGGUCUCAAAAUUAGAGUCGCUUAGCAUGAGAUUUUUUCAAGAUUCAUGUAUUUGAAUGAUUCUUCAUAUAAAUGUCACGGGGGAAAUAGGUCUUUUCAGACUGCCAAGAUCCCAAUCGUUGAAGGUUCUUCUGCAAAGUAUAUUUCAUUGAUUGUCCUCUCUGUUAUGUGCAAUUAUAGAACAGACCUUCCUAAAAUGCUGAAAAUUCAUCAGGCUUCUCCUUUCCAAACAACUGUAGAACAGACCUUACUAAGAAUACAUGGACUUAGUAACACCUGAAAAAAAUGCAAAUAAUGAAAACUUUUUACUUGCUUCUAGCAUUCUACUUUUGGAUUAGUAGAUUACCAGGCUUAGGGAAGUGCCUUUGUUUUUUCCCUCUAUUGUAGAUUAAGUUAAGCGAUAACCAUUCCAAGUUAAUUGCAUUGUUGUUUUUCAGGUUUGGUUGAGAUCAUGUGGCAUGGCAUCAUUUUACAUCUCUUUUGAUGUGAAUAUUUCUAGAGAUCUCCACCGAGCCUGCUCUCGUAAUUGGGGGAUGCUUUGUCUUGGUAGCAUUGAUCCUAUCACUUCUCUUAAUUUUUCAGCAUCUCAGAUAUUAUACUAAUCUGGCGGUGAGUUCUCAAUUUAGGUAUACAUGGACUACUCUUUAUUCUAAUUUCUUAGAAUGUAGGAUCUAAAUUUGUGUUUGCUUAUCAGGAAACAAAAAUGGACCGGUGGGGGUCAUUUUCAUGGUUCCUGUCUAUGCCACUUAAUUAGUAAGGAUAUAGACCAGUGAAAGGGACUAUGAUUUCUGAAUUGUAAAUUGAGACAUAUAUCCAGUAGAUAAGGUUCUAAUUGGAUAUAAUAUUAUAAUGUCUUCCUGCAUCUUUCACUAUUUUACGAGAUACACUAUCUUUAAAUGCAACAUUCAUGAUUAAACUGAUUGCCUAAAGCAACAACGUAAAUUAAUCUUUAAAGCUGAUGCAAAGUUUCUAAAUAAGUAACUUCAAAUUCUCAUGAGUUAAAUGAAUUGGUUCUCAUCUUUUACAGAUUGUAUCCUUAUGGAACCCAAAAUUUUCCCUUGCAUGCGACAUAUUGAGGAAUUGCUAUGAAGCAUUCACACUCUAUUCUUUUGGUAGUUACCUGAUUGAUUGCCUUGGUAAGCAUGAUAUCUAUUCCCAAUGAUGUUGCAAAAAUACGAAAGAUAUCUCAAUAACUUCCUAUGAUUCUUGUAUAACCAGAUAACAGUGAAUCAAAAUAUCUGAAAUGUUUUGAUAUUUUAACCAUACCUAGUGAUCAACAUUAUGGCUUCAAGCCCUACAUUUAAACUUUACUUCACAAUCAUCAUACUAGUCUAGAUUUCAAGGCACAUUAGCCCUAAGCCUUAGUCAUAAGUCAAUUCUAAGCAUAAUUCGUCAAGAGUCCCAAUUCUUAAUCAUUUCAAUUCAUAUUAUAACAUACAUGCAUAAGUCUAGUCAAUUAUGAUCUCGUAUUCACAUCCUUGGAUAUACUCCAUACAUAUCAACAACCCAAGAGAAUCUAACAAAAUCAUCAAUUCCUUAUCAAAAGAUCUAAACCCACAUACUUGGAAAUUAGGGUAAAUCAAGGAAUUCACAUAAAUUCUUCAUAAUAUCAUGAAUCAACAUCAAUUUAAUCAUAUAUGAGUAGAAUCCAACCGUUUGGAAUCAUACCCACCUAAAACCCAUGCAUUGGAAGUAACCCUACCUUCAUUGGGGUUCUUCUUCACAAAUUAGGGGAAAUUCUAGGGGACUCUAUGGGUGAAAGAACCCAUAGAUGAAGAGCUAAACAUACCUUGAACAAAACCCUAGCACAAGCCUUUAGCAAUAAACCCUUUGUUCUUGACCCUAGCUUCAACCCUAGCUUCUUCUUCAAUGAAUGUUCUUCUUUGAGAGAGAAAUAUUUGAGAGAGGAGUGAUUUGGGGCUUUGAAUUGUGUCUAAUGCAAAGUGACUUAAUCUUGGGGGAUAAAUACUUAAAAUAGUCUCAAUAGGUGAAUAAAAGACAUACAAAACGACCCCCCACAUAAACCUAGUCGCAUAGGAAUUUACUCAAAUGUCACUCAACUUAGCUUCUCUGUCCAGUGGUCACACCCACUUGUACGGACCGUGAAAGGGGACCACGACCCGUGCUGGUUCCUGUGUUCCUCUAAGAAGUAGCUCCCCCAAAUUUCCAAGGCCCUCAAUCACCCUAAAACACGUGUGUCUAAGGGAUAUUCAAGGACCCCUUCACGGACCGUGGUCCACACCACUGGUCGUGAAGGUGGUCGUGAACUCUUAGGCAGUGGCUGCCAAGCUUGGGCAGCCUUGGCCCUUUGGCUUAGGCUUGCCCUUUUGCCUUGGUGGCUGCCCUUUCCAUGCACCACCAAACACCUAUAGGUCAUCUAGGCUACUAGGUCUAAUGCACACCUUGAUGCCCUACCAUUAAAAUCCUCAUUCACAACACAUAAAGUCUCAUCUACGAAACUAUUUCACAUACGACACACCAUAGAACCCUAGCUCUUGGCUCUAGUUUGGUCUAAUAGUUUCCGGGGUGUUACAAAAUGAAUGAACAAACAGGUCAAAGGCAACAAACUAAAGGCAAAGAAGGGCAGUCAGGUAUACCAAUUAGGAAAAAUAUUAGUCAAUCUGAUGCUACUAACACUGAGGCUCAUUUACACAAUGUGGUAAAUGAGCAAAUCAGUAGAACUGUUGAAUUGUCGAAACAGGUAAACAAGCAGGUUCAAAAAGACAAGGAGGGCCAAAAGGAUCAGAAUAAGGAAAUAAAUCAACAGGGCGGAACAAAUGGACUUCAACAGGGCAAUGGUAGAUCCAACAUGGUUUAUCAGAACAACUUCCCUAAGAUCUCCAACAAUUAUACUAGGUAUGAUCCUAACCUUCAGAGGAAUACAAAUGCUACUCACCAAGAUAACAAUAAUAUAACUUAAGGCAAUGUGAAGCAACCAAACAAUCAACAACUUGGUCAGGCCCAUAAUAAUGUUAAACAGGACAUAGUUCCUAAACCUGCGCCUUUCACUAUUGUCCAAUCCUUUGCUGCUCGUCUAAGAUAUAACCAGUCCAAGAAUGAAAUCCCUAUUGUGUUGGAUAGUAUCAUAUUUACCACGAGACAGGGGCUGCCUGCAGUGCGGUUAGAAGAGGAUGAUUAUAAUAUUAAACUUGCUGAAAGCUUUAAACACACCUUAGUGGGAAAAUUCACCAACACCAUGCCCAAAAUGGAGAUCAUUAGGAAACGUUUUACUUUUCAGACUCAGCUAACUGGGGGAGUAAAAUAACUCAUUAUAACUCUAGACAUGUGUAUAUUGAUCUUGAUAAUGAGUUUGAUUAUGUUACGAUUUGGACUAAACAAAGGAUGAGUAUAGAAGGUCAAUUGAUGAUGAUCCAAGCAUGGACUCCUGAAUUUACACCGAAAGAAGAAACCCCUAUAGUCCCAUAUGGGUAGUCUUACCUGAACUCCCAUUGCAUUAUUAUAACAAGGUCCUCUUGACGACUAUUUUGAGCCCCAUUGGUAUGGUUUUAUAUCUUGACUCACCUUCCUCUCAGAAGACUAGAGGCAGCAUGGCCAGGGUGAAGAUUCAAAUUGAUCUUACCAAGGAAAGACCUCCCCAUGUUUUGGUGGGAUUUAAGAAUUCUAACCCCAACAAAGGAAAGUGGAAAAAAGCUCAUUAUGAAGGAAUCCCGGAUUAUUGUAUGUAUUGCAAACACCAAGGGCAUAUGGAUAAUGUUUGUACUAUCAAAAUAAGAGAUGAGGACUUGAAAAAAAUGAAAGAAAUGGAAGCUGAAAAAAGGAACAAGACUAAGGGUGAGCAAGAGAAAUGAUGCACAAAAAUCAUACAGGUUCAUGACAGUGAUAUAUCAAGGGCAACUACAAGUUCACAAGUUCAACAUCAUCCAGUUAAAAAGAGGGAGACUCAUAUACAGAAUCAACAUGAGUAGGAAAUAUUUGAACAAGAAGAACAAUGGCAGAUUCAUAAAAGAAAGCAAAACAAAAAUCAGGAACAACCCAACCCCAAGGCUGCAUAGAGACCUGUCUCACCUCAACAUAAAGGAACUAAAGACAACAGGCAAAAGGAGCCAACACCAUCAGGUAUGCUAACUACAAUUCAUACUCAUAAUAAUUAUAUUAAUAUAGAAAUGCAGGAACAACAAGACAAAGGCAAUGCCGAGGAAGGCCACAACAGCAAAACUUCAGGCCAAGAAAUACAUUCAUUACAAGGGUCAGAGAUGGAUCCAUCCCUAUUAAAUUUUCACAAUAACAUAAGUAUGCAAGAAAAAUAGGCUGCAGCCAGCACAAGAAACAAGACCAUAUGUAUUGACUCAGUUCUCCCUAUACCCCAUUCCCCUUAUACUAAAUUUAUUGAGAAUGGUGUAAUCGCUGAUGAAGUUACUGGAGGUAUAGAUGGGGGGUGUAAGUAUAAUCCAACUAACUUGCAGGAAGGGGUUACCAAAGGGUGGAGUUUUACUCAUGUUCUGCAUGAGGUUAUUCACAUCGACCAUAGUACAUACCUUAGACCUCCUGCUACCACUACUCCAAUGAAGAAUACUCAGAAUACUCCUAAAAAACAUAGCCAAAUUCAGGGGGUCAACUCUGAGCAGGUCCAAAGAGAUUCAGGUGUCAAGGAAGCAGAAAAGGGUGCUAAGGCUCAAAUUCAGGAAGCUGGUAACAAUUUGAAGGGUGCUGGUAACUCUCAUAUUCAGCAGUUGUUAUGGGUUACUAAUGUUGAAGGUACUCCUAACAAACAACAAUGAAGGGAUAACAAUAUUGACAUAGAGGAGUAGAAACACCAACCUAGUAAUGAGAACUCAGGGAAGCAUACCAACAAUAGAUCACAAGGCAGACCAAGUAAGAAAAAAAGGGAAGCUAUUAAGAGAAAACAACAACAAGAGGCUGAAAGAAAUGACAAGACUGAUCAGGGCAAGAGGGUUAGAGGAAAUCAGAAUCAGCAACUACAUACAUGCAUGGCUAAUCAGAAAUCAGAUUAUGAUGUUUUAAACUCUGAGGAUGAAUUUGAUGAAGACACUCAUUCUCUUAAUGAAGAGGAAGAGGAUGUGGAUGUGGAUGUGGAUGGGGAUGAGACUAGUGCUCACCUGAUUAAGGCCUUUGGAUCCACUUUCCAAAGUGAGUCUCAAGCAGAAAUCCAAACAGUUGCUGAUCAACAAUGUCUAUCACCUAGAGGGAGAAAACAAGUCAGACAGCAAACCAGACAAGCAUCUAUGAGCACAUCUGCUAAUUCUAGCAGACCCAACACUAGGUCCAAAAGCAAAGGUUUUUAAUGAUUAAAGCCAUGUGUUGGAAUACUAGGAGUAUCAAUACCAAAGGAUCCUUGGAAAGAGUCCAAAAUCGCAAGAAAAUUCACAAUCUCUCUAUGAUUGCAAUUCUUGAACCUUUCUCUAAUAACUCCCAACUAAACAACUACAAACUUCAACUCAAUAUGGACAAUGCCUUCUCUAACCAAAAUGGUAAGAUUUGGAUUUUUUGGACUAUUGACUAUGAUUGUAACAUUUUAGAAUCUGAUGAUCAACAAGUGACCUGUGAGAUGAAACACACAAGGAGCCUUGAGAAAUUCAGGAUCACAUUUGUUUAUGCCAAGUGUAAGGAUGAGCUUAGAAGGCCUUUGUGGGACAGAUUCAUUCACCUAUCCACUGUGAAAAUUCUUUGGUGCACAAUGGGUGAUUUUAAUGUGAUCACAUCUAUUGAUGAAAAGAAGGGGGGAAUACCUUACAAUAUGAACAAGAGUUUUGAGUUCAUCAGCGUGAUAGAAGAAAGUGGGCUUAUUGAUCUGGGGUACAGUGGUUCUCAAUUCACUUGGUGCAAUAACAGGGCUGAAGAAGCAAAAGUGUGGAAGAGACUUGAUAGGGCCAUGGCUAAUGACCAAUGGUUAGAAAGAAUGCCUUAGAUUGUUAUCACACACCUGCCCUCAGUAGGGUCUGAUCACAGUCCUUUAUUACUAGAAAUGAUUGACAAACAGGAACACACUAUCAAAUACUUCAAGUUCUUGCAUUUAUGGAUGGAAAAUGAAACAUUCAUGAGCACUAUCCAAAACUGUUGGGAAAGAGAAGUUACAGGGGAUCCUAUAUGGUGUCUGCACCAAAAGCUGAAGAGGCUGGCUUCUACUCUCAGUUCUUGGUCCAAAAGAGAAUAUGGGGAUAUCUUUGCUACUGUGAAAGAGUUUGAAGAAAAGGUUAGAAAUGCAGAGACAGAGGUGCUUCACAAUAAUACUGCAGACAAUAGGACAAAGCUCCAAUGUGCUAAUGCUGAAUACAUUAAAUUUAUGAAAAUGGAGGCUGCUAUUCUUAAACAGAAGACUCAACUUCAGUGGUUCAGGGAAGGAGAUGCUAAUACAAAAUAUUUUCAUGCUCUCAUGAGCGGAAGAAAGAGGAAGUUAUUCAUCCACCAGAUCAAUAAUGAAGUGGAGAAUGGAUACCAGGAGAUGUUAAUAUUGCUAGGGCUGCCUGUGAGCAUUUCCAAAACAUUUUCACAGGCCACCAGGAUAACAUCAAUGAGGAGAUCCUUCAAUGCAUUCCUAGACUGGUCACUGAGGAACAAAAUCAGGCUCUAAAAACUGACCCUACUGUUGAAGAAGUGAAACAGGUGGUGUUUGCCAUGAAUCCUCAUUCAGUAGCAGGACCUAAUGGUAUGAAUGGGAAAUUUUUCUAGGUGUGUUGGGACAUCAUCAAAGAAGACCUUUACAGAGCAGUGCUAGCCUUCUUUUUUGGACACAGUAUGCCUAAAUACAUGACUCAUGCUUGUUUUGGUUCUUCUUCCAAAGAUCGAUCAUCCCAAAAAACUGUCUGAAUUCGGGCCUAUAAGCUAGAGAAACUUCUUAAAUAAGAUCAUUUCCAAGCUCCUUAGUAUCAGACUUGCUCCCAUCUCAUUUCAAAAUAUUAGAGUGGGUUUGUAAGAGGCAGAAGUAUUUCGGAGAAUAUUAUGUUGGCUCAGGAAAUCAUUCAUGGCAUCAAGAAGCCCAAGUAGGGGGAUAAUGUAGUGAUCAAGCUAGACAUGGCCAAGGCAUAUGAUAUAGUGUCCUGGGCUUACACUUGUUUGGUUAUGAGGAAAAUGUGUUUUAGUGAGUUCUUCAUUGAUAUGAUAUGGAGGAUUAUGAGCAACAACUGGUACUCUGUUAUCAUUAAUGGAGUCAUGCAUGGCUUCUUUCACUCUACUAGAGGGUUGAAACAAGGUGAUCCUUUGUCACCAGCCCUAUUUAUUUUAGGUGUUGAAGUACUUUCAAGGAUGCUGAACAAUCUUUAUUUGAAUCAGAACUACCAAGGUUUUCAUAUAGAACCUAUAGGUCCUCAGAUAAACCAUCUUAGCUUUGCAGAUGAUGUUAUUAUUUUUACCUCAGGAAAAAGACUUGCUAUUCAGAUUAUUAUGAAGACUCUGACUACAUAUGAACAUGUGUCUGACCAGCGUAUUAAUAGAGACAAGAGCCACUUCAUGCUUCCUAUAGAUUCUCAUCAAGACAUUGCUGAAAUGAUUAAGGAGGAAUCUGGAUUUACACAGAAGGACAAUCCCAUUAGCUAUUUGGGACGUCCUUUGUACAUUGGGGGGUAGAGAAGUAUCUACUACUCUUAGCUGGUUGAUAAGGUAGCUAAAAGGAUUAGUGGGUGGCAAGCUAGGAUGCUGAACUUUGCGGGUAGAUUAAAUCUAGUGAAGCAUGUCCUCCAGUCCAUUCCCAUUCACACCAUGGCUGCUAUUUCCCCUCCCAAAACCACCCUUCAAUACAUUAAAAGAUUAACUGCAGAUUUUUUCUGGGGAAGAGAAAAACACAAGAAAAAAUAUCACUGGGCAUCCUGGGAGAACAUCACCUUUCCUUAUGAUGAAGGUGAUCUGGAGGUAAGACACCUCAAUGAUAUAUGCACUUCCUUCCGGUAUAAAUAGUGGUGGCACUUUAGUAGUACUAAUUCUUUAUGGGGGCAAUUUAUCAAGGCCAAGUAUUUUCAAAGAGCUAAUCUUGUUGCUAAGAAGUAGGAUACGGGUUAGUCUUUGGUUUGGAAAUAUAUGAACCAAAACAAACCCAACGUAGAAGAACACAUCAUUUGGAAGAUUCACUCUGGUACUUGCAGCUUUUGGUGGGAUGAUUGGCUAGGGGAAGGCCCUCUUGCUCACCAUACCAAUGAAAGCACUAGGCUCAACAACACUACUGUUUCUCAAUAUAUUCUUAAUGGAGGGUGGAAUGAAAAUAUGGUUAGACAACAUGCACCUCCCUUGAUGGUCCCAAAGAUUUUAAAUGUGCAGAUUCAGUUUCAAGAAGGUGUUGCAGACUAACCUAUCUGGAAACUUACUGAUAAUGGAAGAUUCACUUGUGCUUCUGCAUGGGAGAGUAUCAGAACUAAAAGGCCCAAAAUCAAGUUGUACAAUUAUAUUUGCCACAUACAUAUUCCCUUCAAGGUCUCCUUUUUAUUAUGGAGAGCCUUGAGAGGGAAACUUCCUACAAAUAACAAAACAACUUCAUUUGGAGUGGCUCCUGUUAAGUGUUCCUGCUGCAUCAAGUUUGGAUGGGAUAUGAUUGACCACAUCUUUGUGACUGGACAUUUCGCUAACCACAUUUGGCAAUUUCAUUCAGCUAUAUUUGGAGUGAGGCAGGACAUAGUUCCUUUGAAGAAUCUGAUCACGAGAUGGUGGACCAUGGAAUACAAAAAUGAAGUACAAAAACUUUUGUAUCAUGCAAUGCCUAUUAUCAUCAGCUGGAACCUUUGGAAGAACAGGUGUUCAUCUAAAGAUGGAGGGAAACAUUCUAACACUACAAGAGUCAAAUUCAUGAUCCUCAAAGACACUUCCCUCCUUCUCAAUACUUUCUUUCCCUCUAUGAAAUGGCCUUGGUCUUGGCAUGAAUUGAUCAGUUAUGUUCAACAAUGCUCUCAUGAAAUAUGAGUCAGGCCUAUCACCUGGGCUAAACCUCCUGUUAACAACUGUAAAUUGAUCACUGAUGGUAGUGCAUUAGCCAAUCCUGGCAAGAUAGGAGGGGGUGGCAUUCUUAGAGAUCAUGUAGGGGACCUUAUUUUUGCUUUCACAAUACCUCUUGGUACAGGCACCAAUAAUCAGACAGAGGUCCAGGAUGCUCUUUUUGGUUUGAACUAGUGCUAUCAACAUAGCUACAUGAAAGUGGUGUUGGAAGUGGAUUCAGAACUCCUCACUCAUUGGCUAAACCUUAAUAUCAACCCUCCAUGGAAGAUACAACAACAUGUUAAGGAGCUGCAGAAUCUCAUUCAACUGAUGGAAGCAUUUCAAUGAUUGCAUACUUACAGGGAAGCCAACACUAUGACUGACUUUCAAGACAAAUUGAGCCACGAGAUAGACAUUCCUCAACUAUUUUACACUCUUAACCAACUACAUGUUCCAGUUAAAGGAAGCUACUUAUUGGAAAGGAUGGGCAUGAUCAAUUUCAGAAGAAGGAAGCUGAAAAGAAUAAAAAAAGAGCCUUGAAUAACUCUUUACAUGUCUUUUAUCCGUUUCAACUUGACUAUGUCUAAUAAUAGGUAUAGUUGGUUUGAAUAUGCUCUUUUUAUUCUCUUCCCUUUUGUAAGGGGAGAGUCUCCCUUAUUUACGCUUUCCUAGUAUCUUUGUAUAAAGAGGAGUCCUCUCCUUAGGUGCUUAACUUCAUGGUUCUGUGACUUUAGGCGAUCAAGGUUGAUGUCGCCGAGUCGAUCGGCGAUCUGCCGAUUGUUUAUUUUUGUCGCCAAGUAGGUUCUUCCCCAGGGCUGGAACGCUGGAACUUUAGGCGAGCUAAAGAGACACACAUCGGUUCACCUAGUUGUCUUGGCGAUCACUAGGACUGCCUUCCUUCAACUUCUUCAGAGUUUCGCUCCUUUUUGCCCGAUAAUGUCCUUGCCUUGCUCCUAAGCCUUCAUUGCUGCAAAUAGCCAGUUUAACAUUAGUUUAGAGCAUAAAUUAAGCAUUUGAGGACACUUAAACCAUGAAAAAAAA